RNAcentral lists this ribosomal RNA (386 nucleotides) under uncultured bacterium. RNAcentral describes it as "bacterial SSU rRNA". It matches the Rfam family "Bacterial small subunit ribosomal RNA", at positions 335 to 706 of the family's 1533-position model. The record is from RNAcentral.
ACUCCUACGGGAGGCAGCAGUGGGGAAUAUUGCACAAUGGGGCGCAAGCCUGAUGCAGCCAUGCCGCGUGUAUGAAGAAGGGCCUUCGGGUUGAUAAAGUACUUUUCAGCAGGUGAGGAAGGUGGGUAUGUUAAUAGCAUACUCAUUUUGACGUUAGCUGCAGAAGAAGCACCGGCUAACUCCGUGCCAGCAGCCGCGGUAAUACGGAGGGUGCGAGCGUUAAUCGGAAUUACUGGGCGUAAAGCGCAUGCAGGUGGUUUGUUAAGUCAGAUGUGAAAGCCCGGGGCUCAACCUCGGAAUUGCAUUUGAAACUGGCAAAGCUAGAGUACUGUAGAGGGGGGUAGAAUUUCAGGUGUAGCGGUGAAAUGCGUAGAGAUCUGAAGGAA